RNAcentral lists this long non-coding RNA (544 nucleotides) under Mustela putorius furo (domestic ferret). RNAcentral's name for it is "lncRNA (ENSMPUG00000030732.1)". The record is from RNAcentral. Lineage: Eukaryota; Metazoa; Chordata; Mammalia; Carnivora; Mustelidae.
UUUAUAUGCUAAAUAUAUCCUUUAAUUCUGUGUGUGUGUGUGUAUGUGUGUCUGUGUAUGCUUUUAUAGGCGUUACUGGAAGAACAGAGAUAACCCAUGUGGAGUAAUAGUAUGGAAAUAUCCUGAAACUCCUUCAGAGUCUAAAUAAACUGACUGGAUUGGAGUUUCACAAGCAAGGAACCUGGUCCAUGGGCAAUUUGCUGCAGGUACCAGAGCUGCAGUUUGCCUUUCUCUGGAUCGCAACCUUGGAAGCAGUCCCCAAGUCCCAGGCUGGGAAACAAGAGAGUGGCCUGACCCCCUGGGAGGGUAGAGAUGGCCUGACUGGAAGUUUCAAGAGUCAUUUUGGGGAGUGGCAAGGAGCCAAGGAACACCCUUUCUCCUCUGUGUCUUUGGAACACCCCAUUUCUUCUUGUGAAGAUUAUAUGGUAUGUACUUUUAACUUCCUUUAGUUGCUCCCCAUUUCACUUGCAAAAAAAUGUUAUACUUUUCUUCAACUAGAUCUCCAUCAAAGAACAAAUUUAUAUAAGCCCAUGCAUACCCCUCG